RNAcentral lists this non-coding RNA (21 nucleotides) under Caenorhabditis elegans. Lineage: Eukaryota; Metazoa; Nematoda; Chromadorea; Rhabditida; Rhabditidae. The record is from RNAcentral.
UCUGUGACUGAUGUUUAAUAU